UGAGGAAUAUUGGUCAAUGGGCGGGAGCCUGAACCAGCCAAGUAGCGUGAAGGACGACGGCCCUACGGGUUGUAAACUUCUUUUAUAAGGGAAUAAAGUGCGUUACGUGUAAUGUUUUGUAUGUACCUUAUGAAUAAGCAUCGGCUAAUUCCGUGCCAGCAGCCGCGGUAAUACGGAAGAUGCGAGCGUUAUCCGGAUUUAUUGGGUUUAAAGGGAGCGUAGGCGGGCUUUUAAGUCAGCGGUCAAAUGUCACGGCUCAACCGUGGCCAGCCGUUGAAACUGCAAGCCUUGAGUCUGCACAGGGCACAUGGAAUUCGUGGUGUAGCGGUGAAAUGCUUAGAUAUCACGAAGAACUCCGAUCGCGAAGGCAUUGUGCCGGGGCAGCACUGACGCUGAGGCUCGAAAGUGCGGGUAUCAAACAGGAUUAGAUACCCUGGUAGUCCGCACGGUAAACGAUGAAUGCUCGCUAUGGGCGAUACAAUGUCCGUGGCCAAGCGAAAGCGUUAAGCAUUCCACCUGGGGAGUACGCCGGCAACGGUGAAACUCAAAGGAAUUGACGGGGGCCCGCACAAGCGGAGGAACAUGUGGUUUAAUUCGAUGAUACGCGAGGAACCUUACCCGGGCUUGAAUUGCAGGUGGAUGAGUCAGAGAUGAUUCUUUCCUUCGGGACUCCUGUGAAGGUGCUGCAUGGUUGUCGUCAGCUCGUGCCGUGAGGUGUCGGCUUAAGUGCCAUAACGAGCGCAACCCUUCUCCCCAGUUGCCAUCGGGUAAUGCCGGGCCCUCUGGGGACACUGCCAUCGUAAGAUGCGAGGAAGGUGGGGAUGACGUCAAAUCAGCACGGCCCUUACGUCCGGGGCUACACACGUGUUACAAUGGGGGGUACAGAGGGCCGCUGUCCGGUGACGGUCGGCCAAUCCCUAAAACCCCUCUCAGUUCGGACUGGAGUCUGCAACCCGACUCCACAAAGCUGGAUUCGCUAGUAAUCGCGCAUCAGCCAUGGCGCGGUGAAUACGUUCCC
RNAcentral lists this ribosomal RNA (1018 nucleotides) under uncultured bacterium. Its description in RNAcentral is "bacterial SSU rRNA". It matches the Rfam family "Bacterial small subunit ribosomal RNA", at positions 355 to 1375 of the family's 1533-position model. The record is from RNAcentral.